Molecule: long non-coding RNA, 2920 nt
Filed under: Panax ginseng (ginseng)
Lineage: Eukaryota; Viridiplantae; Streptophyta; Magnoliopsida; Apiales; Araliaceae
Description: long non-coding RNA (PGIN_LNC002386)
Source: RNAcentral
UUGUUUAAACAUUUUAAAAUGUCAUAAACAUCACAACACCUUAAACCCGACCCAAAACUUCAUUACAAACUUGCAUAAGUCAUGCUCACGGGUCUCACUUCAUACAUCGCAUUUUUUCCUAUUUUUGGACACUUUUGAUUUUCCAAAUAUUUUACCCAACCUCACUAAAACAGCCAUAACUCUCGCGUUUUAAAACAUUUUUGAGCGAUUCUUGAGCCCACGCGAAGAUAACUUCCAGGGCUCCAACAUUUGUCUCACGACAGUUUUCCAAAAUCAUAACACAUCAGUCCAGAAAUUUACACAAAGGUGGCUGUUCGGAAUUUGAUUAACAGUUUUGAUACACAUCUCCCGAACGCCAUAACUACCUCAUCCGGAAUCGGAAUUAGUCCGUUCCGGAGUCUAUGGAAAGCUAAAUCAGAGUAAUACAAAAAGUCCAGAAUUUUUAAAACACAAAAAACUUGACGAAAUUUCCCUUGCUACUGACUGCCCCGAAUCUGCCCAUUUUUGGUUAUAAAAACGGAACUGUUUUCACCAAAUCAGUCACUACCCCAUGUAAACUCAACAUUUUUCAGGGCUACCACUUGGGUUAACUACUACACACAUAUAUCUAACACCCCUCUUUAACGGUUUACAAAAAGAAGUCAUAGAUUUAAAACGGUGAAAUUCCAAAGUACUAGGAAAUUUCGGAUUCAAAACUAGAAAAUAAAUUUUCUUUAUUCUUUUGAUUCCACCCAAAUCAACAUCAAAAAAAUGAGUAAAUCCAUACAUGAAUCCAUAUAUAUCACAUAGAUCUUAGGGUUUUAAACACCCAAAUCAAAAACCCCUUUCAUCAAUUUCUUAAAAAAAAUUAGAGAGAGAUUAUACCUUUUGCUUUUUCUUCUUCUUCUUCUUCUUCUUCUUCUUCCUUCUCUAUUUCUUCCAUCCAUGGAGAUCUUCCUUCUCCUUAUCUUCCACAAGGGGGCUGCCCCUCUCUUCUUCUUCUCCCGUUCUCUCCCUUUCUCUUUCUAUUUCUUCUCUUUUUCUUUUCUCUUUCUCUCUUACUCUCAUCCGUUCCUUUCCUCUUCUUUUUUUUUUUUUAAAUUGGCCACUUGGCCUUCUUCUAGACACAUGCUAGCAUCCCUUUUUUUUUUUUCUAGAAACAUUCGGCCACUUGGCCCUCUAAUUUGCCACAUGUCUUUUUAUUGCUUAUUAAAUGCACAAAAUACCCAUCACUAAUUGGGUUUUAAAAAUUGAGAUAUGUCCCAUAAUUGUUUGGGCUUUCUCACUUAAUUCUUUGGGCUAUGUAGUAUUAACAUAAUCCAAUUCUUUCUAUUUUUACCCACCCUAAAUAUUUAAUUAGGGUAUCCAUUCUAAAUAAUUAGAAUUUAAAUCCUCACUCUACUACACUAAAUUUUAUAACCCAAUUAAGCUUGUUUUAAUUAAGUUACAAAAUUAAUAACUUGAGAUAAUAAAAAAUAUAUCUCUUAACUUAAUAUUAUUUUAAUAUAUUAUUCUCCCACAAGUGGCUUAGCUUGGGCCUUUAAUAAUUCCAUUGAGCUAGCCCUUUUACUUGCUUACUUACUAACAAACUAACUUGGGCUUCCUCCCAAAAUUUAAUUGGGUCAUUAUAAAACUAGUCACAUACAUAAUAUGCUAGGCUAGAUUAUUAAUUUAAUCGCCCUUAAACCAUAAUAUCUACAAGUCACGUGCUUAAAUAAAUUAAUUGGACUUGUUUAAACAAUAUAACCCCUUUAGUCCAUUAAAUCCACUUCUCUUGGACUCUAUUCAAAUUAAUUGGGCUAUGACCUUAUUAUAGUCCAUUAUUUUUAAUUCUAUUCCAUUCUACCCUUAUCAUUAUAUUAGGGUUUACAUGCACUCAAGUGAAAUAAAAAUUCUUACUUAAGUACAUUUAAUAUCUUAACCUAAUUAGACUUGCUAUAAUUAGGCUAUAAAAUUAAUUAACUGAGAUGUAUAAAAUAAAUCUCUCAUAAUUGGUAUAUAUUCUAAAUACCAUAAUUCUCUUUUCCCAUAACCCUUAAGUUAUUAAAUCUUUCAUUCCUAAUUUAUAAUUAGGAUCACAUUAGUUUCUUUUAUUUGUUUAUAUAAUAAACAAAUAUAAACUAUCACAUAAUCUUCAUAUUCCUUUACUCACCUAUUCGAACAAAAUAAUUUAAUAAAUUGGGACAUGUUCCACAAUUCACUUAAAUUAGGUCACUAAAAUAAAAUAUUAGGACCACUAAAUAACGAUAACCAUUUAGGUUAUUUAAUUAUCACACCUAAUAUAUAUAUUAGGUUACAUAACUUAAUUCUUAUUUCACUUUUAUAUACAAAAUAAAUGUAUUCCCAUUAUAUAAUGUAUAUUUACUUACUCAUAUACAUAAUUCACAUAAUCAUAACAUAUUUCACUUCUCACACUAAUUUUGACUUUUCUCCAUAAAAGUCAACUGUUGACUUUGACCAAAAGUCAACCUUUACACAUUUUGUGCUUAUUGUCCAUUCUGACUAAAUUCGACGUUCUGGACGCAACCGAGCAGUCCAUGCUUCAAAAUUCUAUCUCUAACUCAAAUUUUGAGUUUUAAAUUACUUCAUUCUCAUUACUAAUCGUUUUAACUAACGACUUUAUACUUAUUCAAAUUCUUAUUUGUCAGUCAAGGCCAACACUCAAGCUAUGUUAAUUACUAACAUAGUUUUAUCUUGAUCCUCAUAUCAUUAACUUAAUUCAUCAUUCCUCUUGCUAAAAUAUAUAUAGCACUUUACUAAGUAUAUAUAUAUUUCUAUACAUAUACUCAUCUUCGUUUAACCUCAUAGCAUCUCUUCAUGUGAAAUCUUAUUUCCAAUAAUAAAAUUUCCAUAUGUACUUAUAUAACAUUUCUUAGACUAUUCAGUUCACAUCGAAUUUACAGGUAUCGUAAUACCUUAUUCUUGAUAUUCCUCCAAGUAC